This 421-nucleotide ribosomal RNA is filed under the name uncultured bacterium. RNAcentral's name for it is "bacterial SSU rRNA". It matches the Rfam family "Bacterial small subunit ribosomal RNA", at positions 39 to 492 of the family's 1533-position model. The record is from RNAcentral.
GGCCGCGGGAAUUCGAUUCAGGCCUAACACAUGCAAGUCGAACGGGAUCUUCGGAUCUAGUGGCGGACGGGUGAGUAACGCGUGGGAACGUGCCCUUUGGUUCGGAAUAGCCCUGGGAAACUGGGAGUAAUACCGGAUACGGUCGAGAGACGAAAGAUUUAUCGCCGAAGGAUCGGCCCGCGUUGGAUUAGGUAGUUGGUGGGGUAAUGGCCUACCAAGCCGACGAUCCAUAGCUGGUUUGAGAGGAUGAUCAGCCACACUGGGACUGAGACACGGCCCAGACUCCUACGGGAGGCAGCAGUGGGGAAUCUUAGACAAUGGGGGAAACCCUGAUCUAGCCAUGCCGCGUGAGCGAUGAAGGCCUUAGGGUUGUAAAGCUCUUUCAGUGGGGAAGAUAAUGACGGUACCCACAGAAGAGCCC